UACGUAGGGUGCGAGCGUUAAUCGGAAUUACUGGGCGUAAAGCGGGCGCAGACGGUUCGUUAAGCAAGAUGUGAAAUCCCCGGGCUUAACCUGGGAAUUGCAUUUCAGACUGGGAAUCUAGAGUACUUUAGGGAGGGGUAGAAUUCCACGUGUAGCGGUGAAAUGCGUAGAGAUGUGGAGGAAUACCGAAGGCGAAGGCAGCCCCUUGGGAAGAUACUGACGCUCAUGUGCGAAAGCGUGGGGAGCAAACAGG
RNAcentral lists this ribosomal RNA (253 nucleotides) under uncultured bacterium. Its description in RNAcentral is "partial 16S ribosomal RNA". It matches the Rfam family "Bacterial small subunit ribosomal RNA", at positions 524 to 776 of the family's 1533-position model. The record is from RNAcentral.